GAUGAACGCUAGCUACAGGCUUAACACAUGCAAGUCGAGGGGAAACGAUAGAGGAAGCUUGCUUUUUCUAGGCGUCGACCGGCGCACGGGUGAGUAACGCGUAUCCAACCUGCCCAUCACUUGGGGAUAACCUUGCGAAAGUAAGACUAAUACCCAAUGAUAUCUCUAGAAGACAUCUGAAAGAGAUUAAAGAUUUAUCGGUGAUGGAUGGGGAUGCGUCUGAUUAGCUUGUUGGCGGGGUAACGGCCCACCAAGGCGACGAUCAGUAGGGGUUCUGAGAGGAAGGUCCCCACAUUGGAACUGAGACACGGUCCAAACUCCUACGGGAGGCAGCAGUGAGGAAUAUUGGUCAAUGGCGCAGGCCUGAACCAAGCCAAGU
RNAcentral lists this ribosomal RNA (379 nucleotides) under uncultured bacterium. RNAcentral's name for it is "bacterial SSU rRNA". It matches the Rfam family "Bacterial small subunit ribosomal RNA", at positions 28 to 397 of the family's 1533-position model. The record is from RNAcentral.